This 389-nucleotide ribosomal RNA is filed under the name uncultured bacterium. RNAcentral's name for it is "bacterial SSU rRNA". It matches the Rfam family "Bacterial small subunit ribosomal RNA", at positions 28 to 416 of the family's 1533-position model. The record is from RNAcentral.
GACGAACGCUGGCGGCGUGCUUAACACAUGCAAGUCGAACGAUGAAGCUGGAGCUUGCUCCGGUGGAUUAGUGGCGAACGGGUGAGUAACACGUGAGCAAUCUGCCCUUGACUCUGGGAUAACUGCGGGAAACUGUAGCUAAUACCGGAUACGACACCUUGGGGCAUCCCAGGGUGUGGAAAGAAUUUCGGUCAAGGAUGAGCUCGCGGCCUAUCAGCUAGUUGGUGAGGUAAUGGCUCACCAAGGCGACGACGGGUAGCCGGCCUGAGAGGGCGACCGGCCACACUGGGACUGAGACACGGCCCAGACUCCUACGGGAGGCAGCAGUGGGGAAUAUUGGGCAAUGGAGGAAACUCUGACCCAGCGACGCCGCGUGCGGGAUGAAGGCC